This 253-nucleotide ribosomal RNA is filed under the name uncultured bacterium. RNAcentral describes it as "partial 16S ribosomal RNA". It matches the Rfam family "Bacterial small subunit ribosomal RNA", at positions 524 to 776 of the family's 1533-position model. The record is from RNAcentral.
UACGUAUGUGGCAAGCGUUGUCCGGAUUUAUUGGGCGUAAAGCGAGCGCAGGCGGUUUCUUAAGUCUGAUGUGAAAGCCCACGGCUUAACCGUGGAGGGUCAUUGGAAACUGGAAAACUUGAGUGCAGAAGAGGAAAGUGGAAUUCCAUGUGUAGCGGUGAAAUGCGUAGAUAUUGAGAAGAACACCAUUAGCGAAGGCGGCUUUCUGGACUGUAACUGACACUGAGGCACGAAAGCGUGGGUAGCAAACAGG